This 468-nucleotide ribosomal RNA is filed under the name uncultured bacterium. RNAcentral's name for it is "partial 16S ribosomal RNA". It matches the Rfam family "Bacterial small subunit ribosomal RNA", at positions 28 to 507 of the family's 1533-position model. The record is from RNAcentral.
GACGAACGCUGGCGGCGUGCUUAACACAUGCAAGUCGAACGGAAAGACCCUGCUUUUGUGGGGUGCUCGAGUGGCGAACGGGUGAGUAACACGUGAGUAACCUGCCCUUGACUUUGGGAUAACUUCAGGAAACUGGGGCUAAUACCGGAUAGGAGCUCCUGCUGCAUGGUGGGGGUUGGAAAGUUUCGGCGGUUGGGGAUGGACUCGCGGCUUAUCAGCUUGUUGGUGGGGUAGUGGCUUACCAAGGCUUUGACGGGUAGCCGGCCUGAGAGGGUGACCGGCCACAAUGGGACUGAGAUACGGCCCAGACUCCUACGGGAGGCAGCAGUGGGGAAUAUUGCACAAUGGGCGGAAGCCUGAUGCAGCAACGCCGCGUGCGGGAUGACGGCCUUCGAGUUGUAAACCGCUUUCGCCUGUGACGAAGCGUGAGUGACGGUAAUGGGUAAAGAAGCACCGGCUAACUACGUG